UUUAGAGAGAGUGGGGUGGAGAGAGAGAGAGAGAGAGAAUUCUUUUUUUUUUUAAUAUUUAUUUUUUAGUUCUCGGCGGACACAUCAUCUUUGUUUUUUUUGUAUGUGGUGCUGAGGAUCGAACCCGGGCCGCACGCAUGCGAGGCGAGCGCGCUACCGCUGAGCCACAUCCCCAGCCCACUACCUAACUUUAAAUCUGGCUUCAAUGGUCUGUAAUUAUAGCACAGAGUUAGAGUUUAUUUUAUCAUUUACUGGCCUAUUUGAUCCUCAAAGAUACUAUCCAGGGACUGAGGGUGUAGCUCAGCCAUUAGAACGUGUGUACUUAGUGUUGCCAGGCCCAGGGUUCAAUCCUGAGCAAAAACAAAAGUGUGUAUAUUAUCCUAGGCUAGUUUACAAAGGACUUGGAAUUCCAGGAGGCCUAUCUCAGAGUUUUCUACCCUGGUAACAUCACUGAGUUGUGAAAUUCAGAUUAUGUAAAGUACCUGAGUACAACAUAGGAAACCCUCAACAAGUGAAUUAUUCACACAGUUUUUGCCCAAUAGGUGUUUGCUUGUUUCCUUUUUGUACUGGGUGAUAGACCCAACCUGAUCUUUUAUUAAAAUUGGGAGCCAUCUUGCCACAAAGCCAUGAAAAGAUAAUUUCAGCUUUACUAUAAAUUACUGCAAAUUCUGAACCUGCUUGGAAUGCCUGCCCGUGCCUUGAACUCACCCAUGCCUGACUCUCUGACCAGAUAGCAGCCCUCUCUGAAACUUUAGUGACACCUCAUAAAUAUUGGCCUUCCCUGGCCAGACAACGACCCUCUCUGAGGCUCUAAUGGUCCUCAUAAAUUCUGAUGUUGGGGCCAGCAAAAAAAAAAAAAAUGUAAACUACCAUUAGUGUGAUGCUUGUCAGAGUUCUGUUAUCUGUAACCCCCCUAUGUGUAACUUUCUGGGCUAUAAAGCUGGGCUGUAGGAAAGGUGGGGUGCUGUCUUGUUCCCGCCGUUUUGGGAGGGAGAAGCAGCCCGGCCGGUCGAAAUAAUAAGCUUGCUUUAAUUUGAUUUUAAUUGGAGUCAGUGGUCUUUUCUUGCGUCCUGGUCUAACAUUUUGGAGUUCCCCAGCGAGAUGACCCUGCCCGACCAGAUCACAAGACCAGACUGCUGG
Molecule: long non-coding RNA, 1140 nt
Filed under: Marmota monax (woodchuck)
Lineage: Eukaryota; Metazoa; Chordata; Mammalia; Rodentia; Sciuridae
Source: RNAcentral